UGACUUAACUGGGAGCACAAUU
RNAcentral lists this microRNA (22 nucleotides) under Chrysemys picta (Painted turtle). RNAcentral describes it as "cpi-miR-1784-3p". The record is from miRBase by way of RNAcentral. Lineage: Eukaryota; Metazoa; Chordata; Testudines; Emydidae.